Molecule: long non-coding RNA, 1335 nt
Organism: Xiphophorus couchianus (Monterrey platyfish)
Lineage: Eukaryota; Metazoa; Chordata; Actinopteri; Cyprinodontiformes; Poeciliidae
Exons: 2
Source: RefSeq, a predicted model, not a curated record
UAUUUACCUGGUGUCCAUGGAAACCUCAACACAAAAUGUUAACGUCUGAUUAUUCUGGAUUAUAAUAGUGAUUUAAUUCAGUCAGUAUUGUACUGAAUGGUCUUAAGAUGGACUGAGAAUAACUAUAUUGUUCUUAAUUUUGCUUUAACUGGAUUUGAGUAAUUAGACCCUAAUAUUCCCAGAGCAGGUUCAAACCUUUCUCUUCUGGUAAGAACAUUAUUUUAUAACUUCUUCCUUCUCAAAGUGAACAUAACAGGAACCUGUCUGUGACGUUCCUCUGGCUGAAGGAACGUCACAUGGAAAAUUUGAUUCAUCUCUCUUACUGUUUUUUUUUAUCCUUCUGUUUUUCACCUCUUCAUAAACAUUCAGAAGCAUAAUGAAAAAAAAUAAUAUUUUUAAGAGUAGUAAAAGUACUCUUAAAAAUACUCAAUACAUACAUACAGUAUGUAUGUAUUGUAAUACAUACAUACUCAAUUGAUUUGAUAUACAAAAAAAUCAUAAUUGAAGUUGAAGAUACUUUUUUAAAAGUAUUUUUUAUGUUAAACAUGUUUAUAAUUUGUACAUUUGAUUUGCCUGACAGUUCUGCCAUGUACUGGUUAUUUUAAAUCAUAGCUGCACAUAUUUAAUCUUCUGAGUCUGUAAGUUUGAGUUUUGUUUUUGGCCCUGGGAAAAAUGAACACAGUUUGAAUUAAACUCUUGGUGUUUAAAAAGAGCUUUGCUUGUCACCACUACUGCACACAACCCACAGUGCCUAAAACAUACUAUUUUUUUAAACAUUUAAUACCUACAAGUGUAAACCAACUAGCUUCACUGUCUGUGACAGUAGAAUGUAAAUUAUACAUGAACUCAGAGAGACUUAGUAACAUUUCCCAAACAUGAAGCUACAACAAAAGCUUCAAAUUUGUUCCAGUUUCUGAAGUAUUUAUUUCUGUAUUUUGUAGAUCAUGUUUUCUGUUAUGAUAGCUUGAGAAAUGCUGGUUGUUUUCAAAAGUGUUCAGUUUAUCUCCUUAUCACUUACAUUCUCUUUCACCUUCCAAUAAACUGCUUCUGGAAAGUGAUGCUGCUGCUCUCUGCCUACAUGAUUAAUGUUUUCUAAUAUAUCAAAUGGAAACCAUGUUUUAGGAAAUAAAUAAAAGCACUUAUUUGCCUUUGGAAAUCUGCUGUUGAUAGAAAAGGAAAUGCCAGCGUGUAGGAAGUGUAACCCCCAUAAACUAUGCUGAUCUGUCUGUAUGUUUAAUGUGUUUGUUAGUUCUUAGAAUGUCCUGUAGAGGGCACUAGACCCACAUUUCUCCUGUGUCGGUACGAGAAGAAGAGUAAAGGAGAGGGAAGAAGAAA